AUUUUUCUAUGGUUCUUUUUGGUGGUUCUUCCAACUCUUUACCACUCGUCAACACAAUUACACUAGCAUUUUCUUUGGGAUUGACAAGAGUUUAGGAAGGAAGCUUGCCUAACCCUUAAGCUUCUAAUCUACUCACUCAAGAAGCUAGAUGGCUUAUUUGAUUUUUCAUGUUUUGAAUACUAGUCAUUGUCUCUUUUUGGAAUUGUAAAGAACUAGAUGCAAUAGUUUUGACCAUAUCCUCGAGUGAGAUACCUUGG
Molecule: unclassified non-coding RNA, 257 nt
Filed under: Hevea brasiliensis (rubber tree)
Lineage: Eukaryota; Viridiplantae; Streptophyta; Magnoliopsida; Malpighiales; Euphorbiaceae
Source: RNAcentral